GACGAACCGAGCGAACGUUGUUCGGAAUCACUGGGCUUAAAGGGCGCGUAGGCGGGUGCUCAAGUCCGGGGUGAAAUCCCACAGCUCAACUGUGGAAUUGCCUCGGAUACUGGGCGUCUCGAGGGUGGCAGGGGUAUGCGGAACUAUCGGUGGAGCGGUGAAAUGCGUUGAUAUCGGGAGGAACACCUGUGGCGAAGGCGGCCCCCUGGUUGGAUACUGACGCUGAUACGCGAAAGCGUGGGGAGCAAACAGG
RNAcentral lists this ribosomal RNA (253 nucleotides) under uncultured bacterium. RNAcentral describes it as "partial 16S ribosomal RNA". It matches the Rfam family "Bacterial small subunit ribosomal RNA", at positions 524 to 776 of the family's 1533-position model. The record is from RNAcentral.